This 1112-nucleotide ribosomal RNA is filed under the name uncultured Wolbachia sp. RNAcentral describes it as "partial 23S ribosomal RNA". It matches the Rfam family "Bacterial large subunit ribosomal RNA", at positions 1120 to 2329 of the family's 2925-position model. The record is from RNAcentral. Lineage: Bacteria; Pseudomonadati; Pseudomonadota; Alphaproteobacteria; Rickettsiales; Anaplasmataceae.
CCUUUAAAGAAAGCGUAACAGCUCACUUGUCUAAAUAAGUUUUUCUGCGCCGAAAAUGUACCGGGGCUAAAGCUGUAUACCGAAGAUGUGAGUGCUUAUUGAUUUCGAUCAAUAGGCGCGGUAGCGGAGCGUUCCGUAAGUCUGUGAAGGUGGUUUGUGAAAACUGCUGGAGAUAUCGGAAGUGAGAAUGCUGACAUAAGUAGCGUAAAAGAGUGUGAAAAACACUCUCACCAAAAAUCUAAGGGUUCCUACGUUAAGUUAAUCUGCGUAGGGUUAGUCGGUUCCUAAGGCGAGUCCGUAAAGGAGUAGUCGAUGGCAAUUAGGUUAAUAUUCCUAAACCUCUUAAGUGUGACGGGUUUCGUAUUUGUAUAGAUCUUAUUGGAUUGAUCUAUGCUUAAAAGAAGCUCCAGGAAAUAGCACUUAUAUUUAUGAGGCCGUACCGCAAACCGACACUGGUGGAUGAGUAGAGUAUACUAAGGUGUUGAAAGAAUGAUGUUGAAGGAACUCGGCAAAUUAUACCUGUAACUUCGGAAGAAGGGUAACCUGCUUUUAGGCAACUAUGAGUAGGUGGCACAAAAUAGGGAGUAGCGACUGUUUACUAAAAACACAGGACUCUGCAAACACGUAAGUGGAAGUAUAGGGUCUGACGCCUGCCCGGUGCUGGAAGGUUAAUAGGAAGGGUGCAAGCUCCGAAUUGACGCCCCAGUAAACGGCGGCCGUAACACUGACGGUCCUAAGGUAGCGAAAUUCCUUGUCGGGUAAGUUCCGACCCGCACGAAUGGCGUAACGAUUUCUCCACUGUCUCCAACAUCACUUCAGCGAAAUUGAAUUCCCCGUGCAGAUGCGGGGUACCCGCGGUUAGACGAAGAGACCCCGUGCACCUUUACUAUAGCUUUACAUUGCUAUUAAAAGUGUGAUGUGCAGGAUAGGUGGGAGACUUUGAAGUUAUGGCGCUAGCUAUAAUGGAGUCAACCUUGAGAUACCACCCUUUACACUUUUGAUAUCUAACUAUGUUUCAUUAUCUGGAACUAGGACAUUGUAUGGUGGGUAGUUUGACUGGGGCGGUCGCCUCCUAAAAAGUAACGGAGGCGUGCGAAGGUAAGCUAGAGCUG